CCCUUAGAUGUUCUGGGCUGCACGCGCGCUACACUGAUGCGCUCAACGAGUUUUAACCUUGCCUGGAAAGGUUGGGUAAUCUUUUUAAAACGCAUCGUGAUGGGGAUAGAUUAUUGCAAUUAUUAAUCUUCAACGAGGAAUUCCUAGUAAGCGCGAGUCAUCAGCUCGUGCUGAUUACGUCCCUGCCCUUUGUACACACCGCCCGGCGCUCCUACCGAUUGAGUGAUCCGGUGAAUAAUUCGGACUGCGGCAUUGACCGGUUCCCGAUCGUUGCUGCGGAAAGUUUAGUGAACCUUAUCACUUAGAGGAAGGAGAAGUCGUAACA
RNAcentral lists this ribosomal RNA (325 nucleotides) under uncultured eukaryote. RNAcentral describes it as "partial 18S ribosomal RNA". It matches the Rfam family "Eukaryotic small subunit ribosomal RNA", at positions 1470 to 1796 of the family's 1831-position model. The record is from RNAcentral.